UUGAACUUAGGAGGGUAAACUGGCGGCGUAACUGGUGGCUUCGUCGGAGGAGAAACCGGAGGCUUAACCGGAGCUUUGGUCGGAGGGUAAACCGGGGGCUUAACCGGAGGUUUGGCUGGUGGGGAAACUGGUGGCUUGACCGGGGGUUUAGUUGGGGGCUUAACCGGAGCUUUGGUUGGAGGGUAAACUGGUGGCUUGACCGGGGGUUUAGUUGGGGGCUUAACUGGAGCUUUGGUUGGAGGGUAAACCGGUGGCUUGACUGGAGGUUUAGCUGGUGGGGAGACAGGUGGCUUGACCGGGGGUUUAGUUGGGGGCUUAACCGGGGCUUUGGUCGGUGGGUAAACUGGGGGCUUAACCGGAGGUUUGGCUGGUGGAGACACUGGUGCCUUAACCGGGGGUUUAACGGGAG
Molecule: long non-coding RNA, 409 nt
Filed under: Arabidopsis lyrata
Lineage: Eukaryota; Viridiplantae; Streptophyta; Magnoliopsida; Brassicales; Brassicaceae
Description: long non-coding RNA (ALYR_LNC003094)
Source: RNAcentral